Lupinus albus (white lupine) is the source of this 86-nucleotide non-coding RNA. The record is from the annotation of a GenBank genome assembly. Lineage: Eukaryota; Viridiplantae; Streptophyta; Magnoliopsida; Fabales; Fabaceae.
GUGACAGAAGAGAGUGAGCACACAUGGUGUUUUCUUGCAUGAUGGUUAAUGCUUGAAGCUAUUUGUGCUUACUCUCUAUCUGUCAC